GAAGCCUUCGGGCUUAGUGGCGCACGGGUGCGUAACGCGUGGGAAUCUGCCCUUGGGUUCGGAAUAACAGUGAGAAAUUACUGCUAAUACCGGAUGAUGACGUAAGUCCAAAGAUUUAUCGCCCAAGGAUGAGCCCGCGUAGGAUUAGCUAGUUGGUGGGGUAAAGGCCCACCAAGGCGACGAUCCUUAGCUGGUCUGAGAGGAUGAUCAGCCACACUGGGACUGAGACACGGCCCAGACUCCUACGGGAGGCAGCAGUGGGGAAUAUUGGACAAUGGGCGAAAGCCUGAUCCAGCAAUGCCGCGUGAGUGAUGAAGGCCUUAGGGUUGUAAAGCUCUUUUACCCGGGAUGAUAAUGACAGUACCGGGAGAAUAAGCUCCGGCUAACUCCGUGCCAGCAGCCGCGGUAAUACGGAGGGAGCUAGCGUUAUUCGGAAUUACUGGGCGUAAAGCGCACGUAGGCGGCUUUGUAAGUAAGAGGUGAAAGCCCGGAGCUCAACUCCGGAACUGCCUUUUAGACUGCAUCGCUUGAAUCCAGGAGAGGUGAGUGGAAUUCCGAGUGUAGAGGUGAAAUUCGUAGAUAUUCGGAAGAACACCAGUGGCGAAGGCGGCUCACUGGGACUGGUAUUGACGCUGAGGUGCGAAAGCGUGGGGAGCAACAGGAUAGAUACCUGGUAGUCACGCCGUAAACGAUGAUACUAGCUGUCUGGGUACUGGUACUUAGG
This 724-nucleotide ribosomal RNA is filed under the name Sphingomonas sp. GIC56. Its description in RNAcentral is "bacterial SSU rRNA". It matches the Rfam family "Bacterial small subunit ribosomal RNA", at positions 68 to 843 of the family's 1533-position model. The record is from RNAcentral. Lineage: Bacteria; Pseudomonadati; Pseudomonadota; Alphaproteobacteria; Sphingomonadales; Sphingomonadaceae.